Molecule: microRNA precursor, 95 nt
Filed under: Tupaia belangeri chinensis (Chinese tree shrew)
Lineage: Eukaryota; Metazoa; Chordata; Mammalia; Scandentia; Tupaiidae
Description: Tupaia chinensis (Chinese tree shrew) mir-490 microRNA precursor family
Rfam family: mir-490 microRNA precursor family
Source: Rfam by way of RNAcentral
UGGAAAGUUCAUUGUUCGACACCAUGGAUCUCCAGGUGGGUCACGGUUAGAGAUACACCAACCUGGAGGACUCCAUGCUGUUGAGCUGUUCACAA